RNA transcript from Phodopus roborovskii (desert hamster), 753 nucleotides. It is a transcript of the gene named selenoprotein H, with no coding region annotated. The transcript has 4 exons. NCBI's taxonomy places the organism in Eukaryota, Metazoa, Chordata, Mammalia, Rodentia, Cricetidae. The record is from RefSeq and is a predicted model, not a curated record.
AAGGUCCCGCCUUCAGGUCACGUGGGCGCCGCCAGCCGCGCUUCUUUUGCUUCGGGGUUUGAAUUUAACUGCGGUUCUGGGCUGCGAGUUUGUCUCUUUGGGGUUGCGUCCCACCUUAUCCUACGAACGCCUCAAACCCACGUUGUUUCGGGCACCGGAGGUCCGUACCAUGGCCCCUAGCGGAAGAAAGCGGAAGGCCGCGCCGGCAGAGACAGUGGACAAGCGCGAGAAACUGGCGGAGGGCCUGGCGGUGGUCAUUGAGCAUUGCACGAGCUGACGCGUCUACGGGCGCCAUGCUGCUGCCCUGAGCCAGGCUCUGCAGCUGGAGGUCCCAGAGCUGCCUGUGCAGGUGAAUCCAUCCAAACCGCGGAGGGGCAGCUUCGAAGUGACGUUACUGCGCCCGGACAACAGCCGUGCCGAACUCUGGACUGGUAUUAAGAAGGGCCCGCCACGAAAGCUAAAAUUUCCUGAGCCUCAAGAAGUGGUUAAAGAAUUGAAGAAGUACCUUUCAUAAGGGCCGUUGGCAGGAAAUUUCCAUGCUGAGGUUUGCAUCAAGACACAGGGAUGCACAUUGAGCUUUCAUUCCCUGGAGAUGUUGAAGCAUUUAUGAUAGUGCAUGGCCAAACUUAAGCUAUGUACCUGAAGCCAUAGUUUCUUCCUCACCAGAGAUGAUGGUUCAGUUGUGAGACAGCCCUCCAACAAGGCAUUGUAAAAGUGUUUGAAUUGGUUUAAUAAAAGUUAAAGUAUCUGAGA